AACGAACGCUGGCGGCAUGCCUAACACAUGCAAGUCGAACGAGACCUCCGGGUCUAGUGGCGCACGGGGGCGUAACGCGUGGGAACCUGCCCUUAGGUUCCGAAUAACUCCCCGAAAGGGGUGCUAAUACCGGAAAAUUUCUUCGGACCAAAGAUUGAUCGCCUUUGGAUGGGCACGCGAUGGAUUAGCCUGUUGGUAGUGUAAAAGCCUACCAAGGCGACGAUCCAUAGCUGGUCUGAGAGGAUGAUCAGCCACACUGGGACUGAGACACGGCGCAGACUACUACGGGAAGCAGCAGUGGGGAAUAUUGGAAAAUGGGCGAAAUCCUGAUGCAGCAAUGCCGGGUGAGUGAUGAAGGCCUGAGAGUUGUAAAGCUCUUUUACCCGGGAUGAUAAUGACAGUACCGGGAGAAUAAGCUCCGGCUAACUCCGUG
This 433-nucleotide ribosomal RNA is filed under the name uncultured bacterium. RNAcentral describes it as "partial 16S ribosomal RNA". It matches the Rfam family "Bacterial small subunit ribosomal RNA", at positions 29 to 507 of the family's 1533-position model. The record is from RNAcentral.